Long non-coding RNA from Melanaphis sacchari, 215 nucleotides. RefSeq lists it as uncharacterized. The record is from RefSeq and is a predicted model, not a curated record. Lineage: Eukaryota; Metazoa; Arthropoda; Insecta; Hemiptera; Aphididae. The transcript has 3 exons.
AUAAUUUAUAGCAACAAUGAGGACUUGUUUAAGAUUGAACAGAAGUAUGUAAUUAGUUUUAUUUUGUAAGAGUAAAUGGUAUCAGAAGUUGUACGAUAUUUUGGUCUUAAUUUUAACACGUUAUUACAUUGUGUGAAGUUGAAGUGAGAAAUGUAUAGAUUUCCCAAUGAUAAUAUUUUUUAAUUAUUGACCAUAAAUUAGUAAAUUAUACAUUU